UACGGAGGGAGCAAGCGUUACUCGGAAUUAUUGGGCGUAAAGAGCUCGUAGGCGGUCUGUUACGUCUGCUGUGAAAACCCUGGGCUUAACCCUGGGCUUGCAGUGGAUACGGGCAGACUAGAGGCAGGUAGGGGAGAAUGGAAUUCCCGGUGUAGCGGUGAAAUGCGCAGAUAUCGGGAGGAACACCGGUGGCGAAGGCGGUUCUCUGGGCCUGACCUGACGCUGAGGAGCGAAAGCGUGGGGAGCGAACAGG
This 253-nucleotide ribosomal RNA is filed under the name uncultured bacterium. RNAcentral's name for it is "partial 16S ribosomal RNA". It matches the Rfam family "Bacterial small subunit ribosomal RNA", at positions 524 to 776 of the family's 1533-position model. The record is from RNAcentral.